GUCUAAAGACGCGGAGAAAAUGCAGCAGCUGCGUCAGAGCCGUGCAUUCUACAGUAGCAGCUGGGAACCUGAGUUCCCAAAUCAGCAGCAGCAGAAGCAGCAGCAGCAGCAUAGAAGGCAUUACUCGUCGAUCCCGCAUACUCACUAUGAGCAGCAGCCACAUACCAAACAAAGCAGUCUGCUGCUGCAUUUACCACAACAGCUCCAUGGCCUAUUCAAGAGAGCUUUGUGGUCAGAGACGAGGACGAGCCUCCUCCUGUUGAGCACAAGAACCAAACUCCAAGAAAGACCUAUGCUUUUAUGUCCAAAGACGCUGAGAAAAUGCAGCAGCUGCGUCAGAGCCGGGCGUUCUACAGUAGCAGCUGGGAAGCUGAGUUGCCAAAGCAGCAGCAGCAGCAUAGAAGGCAUUACUCGUCGAUCCCGCAUACUUACUAUGAGCAGAACAGUGAGCAGACUAAUGAGAUAGUCUUUGGGGCGGUCCAAGAACAGAGCAGCAAGCGUGCAGCUAAGCCUAAGGAGUCAGGAGAGCAGAUUAAUAACAAUAAUAAUACUCAACAGAAUCUUCACUACAGAGCUCAU
RNAcentral lists this long non-coding RNA (579 nucleotides) under Brassica napus (rape). RNAcentral's name for it is "long non-coding RNA (BNAP_LNC018966)". Lineage: Eukaryota; Viridiplantae; Streptophyta; Magnoliopsida; Brassicales; Brassicaceae. The record is from RNAcentral.